UAGGGAAUCUUCCGCAAUGGGCGAAAGCCUGACGGAGCAACGCCGCGUGAGUGAUGAAGGUCUUCGGAUCGUAAAACUCUGUUAUUAGGGAAGAACAAAUGUGUAAGUAACUAUGCACGUCUUGACGGUACCUAAUCAGAAAGCCACGUCUAACUACGUGCCAGCAGCCGCGGUAAUACGUAGGUGGCAAGCGUUAUCCGGAAUUAUUGGGCGUAAAGAGCGCGUAGGCGGUUUUUUAAGUCUGAUGUGAAAGCCCACGGCUCAACCGUGGAGGGUCAUUGGAAACUGGAAAACUUGAGUGCAGAAGAGGAAAGUGGAAUUCCAUGGGUAGCGGUGAAAUGCGCAGAGAUAUGGAGGAACACCAGUGGCGAAGGCGACUUUCUGGUCUGUAACUGACGCUGAUGUGCGAAAGCGUGGGGAUCAAACAGG
This 429-nucleotide ribosomal RNA is filed under the name Actinomycetes bacterium. Its description in RNAcentral is "Actinobacteria bacterium partial 16S ribosomal RNA". It matches the Rfam family "Bacterial small subunit ribosomal RNA", at positions 355 to 776 of the family's 1533-position model. The record is from RNAcentral. Lineage: Bacteria; Bacillati; Actinomycetota; Actinomycetes.